This is a long non-coding RNA of Strongylocentrotus purpuratus (purple sea urchin), 479 nucleotides long. RefSeq lists it as uncharacterized. The record is from RefSeq and is a predicted model, not a curated record. NCBI's taxonomy places the organism in Eukaryota, Metazoa, Echinodermata, Echinoidea, Camarodonta, Strongylocentrotidae. The transcript is spliced from 2 exons.
UUGUGUAAGAUACUAAUCUCUGUUUUGUGAGGACAUUUUUUGUUUCAGUUGACGAUCGGAGUAUGACGUCAGAAGCGAUAUUUUUUUGGUUGAAUUUUUGGUCUGCCGAGUGGGGGCGUAACAAUUUAGCUGCAAAUGAUUCUCAAUUUUGGGAAAAGUCAUCCUUCUGAUUGCGAUCAAUAUUUAGUAUUUCCAGACAAGCCCAAUGUUGUUGAACCGCCUUUUGUGAACGGUAUCGCAUCAUGCUUGAAAUUGUCGCUAUUUAUUGAAGUGCAGUCAGUCCGAUUGGUUGGUUAUACGCUACAUUAAGUUCAACAACAGUGCUUUAAGUCAACAUGAGCGAUAUGUCCCAUCAAGAGUCCGUCAAACCCGGGGAUUCAGCAAGCCAGACUGGCAAGAGCAGCACAAGCAGUACCUCCAGAGCUAGAGUCAAAGCAAUGGUGAAGAGAGCGGCCUUGGCAGCCCAGGCAGCAGCUCUC